AGGGUUUGAUUCUGGCUCAGGAUUAACGCUGGCGGCGCACAUAAGACAUGCAAGUCGAACGGAAGUCGUUAUAACUCAGAACGAAGAUUUAUCUGAGGGACGAGAUAUAACAAUGGCUUUAGUGGCGGACUGGUGAGUAACACGUAAGAAACCUGCCUAUUAGAGGGGAAUAACAACGAGAAAUCGUUGCUAAUACCGCAUAAGCUAGUAGUACCGCAUGGUACAGCUAGAAAAGGAGAAAUCCGCUAAUAGAUGGUCUUGCGUCCGAUUAGCUAGUUGGUGGGGUAACGGCCUACCAAGGCAACGAUCGGUAGCCGAGCUGAGAGGCUCAACGGCCACAUUGGGACUGAGAUACGGCCCAG
RNAcentral lists this ribosomal RNA (362 nucleotides) under uncultured bacterium. Its description in RNAcentral is "bacterial SSU rRNA". It matches the Rfam family "Bacterial small subunit ribosomal RNA", at positions 8 to 334 of the family's 1533-position model. The record is from RNAcentral.